CCUAUUUAAACUAACACAGACUUCUACUCAGCCAACAGAAAGAAAGCAGAUGCCUGUAAAAAGGGAGGUGGCCCAGCAGCACCACCUCUAACGGAGGCAGAGGAGCUGGUCCUAAGCCAGAAUUUGGGAAGGCCAGUGGCUGAGGGAAUCCCUGGAGGGAGCUCAUCCUCUGAGACCACAUCCCAAGACACAAAUUCUGAUGGUACUAUCUGCCUGGUGGAGCCCCUUCACGCCACAACAGACCUUGUAACUGAUGAAGAGGAUGAAACUGUGUCUGCUGCCUUUACAGAGGGGGAUCCAGAAAGGCAUCUAGAGAGCAUGGCUGGACAGCAGCAGGAUGGUCCCUCAACUUCCACUGCACAGAUUGACACAGUGAGAUGGAUGUUCAGUAAACACCAGAGGUUCAUUCUGUGGAAUUCAUGUGCAACUGUAUAAUUUAAUGUCCUUUAUGUAUUCCCAGUUACCAGUAAAACAAAUAUACAAAAUCCACUUGCUGAGAAAAAUACAAAAAACAGAUAAAGAAAUGCAGUACUUGGACCGCCAGAUUAAGAAGGCAGAUCUGGAAAUUGAAAUACUGGAGCACAAGUUAGAGGUGGGUGCAGGUCACAGGUGAAUUAUGUUAACUACUGGAACAUGAACUAAACUAGC
This is a long non-coding RNA of Amphiprion ocellaris (clown anemonefish), 648 nucleotides long. Lineage: Eukaryota; Metazoa; Chordata; Actinopteri; Pomacentridae. The record is from Ensembl.